This 468-nucleotide ribosomal RNA is filed under the name uncultured bacterium. RNAcentral describes it as "partial 16S ribosomal RNA". It matches the Rfam family "Bacterial small subunit ribosomal RNA", at positions 28 to 507 of the family's 1533-position model. The record is from RNAcentral.
GACGAACGCUGGCGGCGUGCUUAACACAUGCAAGUCGAACGGAAAGGCCCUGCUUUUGUGGGGUGCUCGAGUGGCGAACGGGUGAGUAACCCGUGAGUAACCUGCCCUUGACUUUGGGGAAACUUCAUGAAACUGGGUCUAAUACCGGAUAGUACCAGCAUCUUCAUGGUGGUGUUUGGAAUGUUUGGGCGGUUGGGGAUGGUCUCUCGGCUUAUCAGUUUGUUGGUGGGGUAGUGGCGUACCAAAGCCUUGACGGGAAGCCGGCCUGCGAGGGUGAGCGGCCACAUUGGGACUGAGAUCAGGCCCAGACUCCUACGGGAGGCAGCAGUGGGGAAUAUUGCAAAAUGGGCGGAAGCCUGAUGCAGCAACGCCGCGUGCGGGAUGACGGCCUUCGGGUUGUAAACCGCUUUCGCCUGUGACGAAGCGUGAGUGACGGUAAUGGGUAAAGAAGCACCGGCUAACUACGUG